CUGCUCCACAGCCUCUCCUUACCCACAUUGCUUUCAUGCCUGCUCAGAGCUGCAUCAUAAUGUAAUAUAAGAUAGCUUUCUACAGGUCGAUCAUGGGCCAGAGUUUUUGAGUUAUGAGAGCUGCUCCAGAGGUUUGUUUUAGCAAAACAGUCAUCACUGGCAGUACAUUUCAGUGACACAGAGUGGGUCACAAAGCUUGCUUAUUUUCAUGUGACAUAUUCAACCUACUCAGUGAAUUCAAUCUCUCACUGUGGGGGAGAAUGGCAACUGUGUUCAAGUUGGCAGAAAAGGUUUCAACAUUCAAAGUUGAACUGAAAUUACGGGAGUGAUGAAUCAAAGUCCAGAAUAUUCUCCAUCUACAGGGAAGACUUGGCUGGGGGAGGGAGAAGACAAACAGAGACAGAGCCAGGAUCAGAGAGGAGAGAAGAGAGAACAAAAGGAAUCAAAGAAAGAAAACAAAAAAUACAGAAGAUAA
RNAcentral lists this long non-coding RNA (475 nucleotides) under Fukomys damarensis (Damara mole-rat). Its description in RNAcentral is "lncRNA (ENSFDAG00000023413.1)". The record is from RNAcentral. Lineage: Eukaryota; Metazoa; Chordata; Mammalia; Rodentia; Bathyergidae.